Molecule: ribosomal RNA, 523 nt
Filed under: uncultured bacterium
Lineage: Bacteria
Description: partial 16S ribosomal RNA
Rfam family: Bacterial small subunit ribosomal RNA
Source: RNAcentral
GGGGAAUAUUGCACAAUGGGCGAAAGCCUGAUGCAGCAACGCCGCGUGAGUGAUGAAGGUCUUCGGAUUGUAAAGCUCUGUCUUUUGGGACGAUAAUGACGGUACCAAAGGAGGAAGCCACGGCUAACUACGUGCCAGCAGCCGCGGUAAUACGUAGGUGGCGAGCGUUGUCCGGAUUUACUGGGCGUAAAGGGUGCGUAGGCGGAUGUUUAAGUGAGAUGUGAAAUACCCGGGCUUAACUUGGGUGCUGCAUUUCAAACUGGAUAUCUAGAGUGCAGGAGAGGAGAAUGGAAUUCCUAGUGUAGCGGUGAAAUGCGUAGAGAUUAGGAAGAACACCAGUGGCGAAGGCGAUUCUCUGGACUGUAACUGACGCUGAGGCACGAAAGCGUGGGUAGCAAACAGGAUUAGAUACCCUGGUAGUCCACGCCGUAAACGAUGAGUACUAGGUGUAGGAGGUAUCGACCCCUUCUGUGCCGCAGUAAACACAUUAAGUACUCCGCCUGGGAAGUACGAUCGCAAGAUU